AUUCUUUCGCAGAGGCAAUAUCAUAGCCUAUGAGGCCUAGCCUAGCCUAGCCUAGCCUAGCCUAGCCUAGCCUAGCCUAGCCUAGCCUAGCCUAGCCUAGCCUAGCCGAGGCGUGAUCAUUGCUGGUUGAAAACUUUACCCAAUACCCCGCCGAGAUGGCUUGAGAUACAGUCAGCUCUGGCAGUUUUUGACAGCCUCCUAGAAGG
RNAcentral lists this small nuclear RNA (206 nucleotides) under Danio rerio (zebrafish). Its description in RNAcentral is "U4 spliceosomal RNA". It matches the Rfam family "U4 spliceosomal RNA". Rfam says of the family: U4 small nuclear RNA (U4 snRNA) is a component of the major U2-dependent spliceosome. The structure of U4 snRNA from yeast and human has been reported. The record is from Rfam by way of RNAcentral. Lineage: Eukaryota; Metazoa; Chordata; Actinopteri; Cypriniformes; Danionidae.